This 213-nucleotide ribosomal RNA is filed under the name uncultured Streptococcus sp. RNAcentral describes it as "partial 16S ribosomal RNA". It matches the Rfam family "Bacterial small subunit ribosomal RNA", at positions 1173 to 1382 of the family's 1533-position model. The record is from RNAcentral. Lineage: Bacteria; Bacillati; Bacillota; Bacilli; Lactobacillales; Streptococcaceae.
UGGGGAGUGACGUCAAAUCAUCAUGCCCCUUACUGACCUGGGCGUACACACGUGCUACAAUGGUUGGUACAACGAGUUGCGAGUCGGUGACGGCGAGCUAAUCUCUUAAAGACCAAUCUCAGUUCGGAUUGUAGGCUGCAACUCGCCUACAUGAAGUCGGAAUCGCUAGUAAUCGCGGAUCAGCACGCCGCGGUGAAUACGUUCCCGGGCCUU